AAUGCUUCAAUGAGAUUAAGGGGAUGCUGGUGGUAGUGCAGGGGAGGUGGGGAAAGGAAGUACUAAAGCAAGUGUCCUAUUCCCAAGGGUCUUCCUUAAUUUUCCUUGGAAGAUUACAUCUUUUCCUAUUAGUGUAGAACCAUACUCAUAAGGUAACUUGACAGCCCGGGAUUUGGCACCCAGCGAGUUCUUAUGCUGAAUUAAUUAUGUUGUUCAUUCUUCUUUUUUAAAAAUCGCUUUUAGUGGGCGGCACCUGUCCCUCAGUGAGUAGGGCGCCGGCCCCAUAUGCCGAGGGUGGCGGGUUCGGACCCAGCCCCGGCCAAACUGCAACAGAAAAAUAGCCGGACGUUGUGGCGCGCACCUGUAGUCCCAGCUACUUGGGAGGCUGAGGCAGGAGAAUCUCCUAAGCCCAGGAGUUGGAGGUUGCUGUGAGCUGUGUGACGCCAUGGCACUCGAGGGCAAUAAAGUGAAACUCUGUCUCUACAAAAAAAAAAAAGAAAAAAGAAAACCAAAACUUCUGGUUGUGGGCGGCGCCUGUGGCUCAGUGAGUAGGGCGCCGGCCCCAUAUGCCGAGGGUGUCAAACCCAGCCCCGGCCAAACUGCAACAAAAAAAUAGCCGGGCAUUGUGGCGGGCACCUGUAGUCCCAGCUGCUCGGGAGGCUGAGGCAAGAGAAUCGCGUAAGCCCAGGAGUUAGAGGUUGCUGUGAGCCAUGUGACGCCACGACACUCUACCCGAGGGCGGUACAGUGAGACUCUGUCUCUACAAAAAAAAAAAAAAAAAAAUCGCUUUUAGUGCCUAACAGAAGCCAGUUUCUAUGUUAGUGCUGGAGAUAAAAUGGUGAACAGGACAACAUAGGUCCCUAUCCUGCACAGACCAUUGUAUAUCAUCCUCCAGUUGUUAGCAAGCACCCUCAGAAAGUGGUGUUUAAACUCAGACUAGAAAAACAAGGAGAGAGUGAUAGAUAGGAAGUCAGGAAAUUUAAGGGACAUGGCCCUUUGAAGAGGGUCUUGAGCAAGGGAGUGAGGGAGAUCAGUGGGCAGAGGCCAAAUCAUCUAGGACUUGUAGAGUUUGGAUUUUAUCUUGAGGGUAAUUAGGAACCAGUAAAGAAUUUUAAGAAAGAAAGUGACAUGGUCAAUUUUUAAUUUUUGAAAAUGGAGCACGUAUUGGAGGAGGCAAAAGUAGAGGCAGGGAGCGCUGUUAAGAGACUACAGCCUUGUCCUGGUGUCAGAUGGUGAUGUCUUUAACCAGGGUGGUGCCAGAAGAGAUGGAAAGAAAUGGACAGGUCCAGGUGCAGUUAAGAAGUGAAACCCGACAGGGCUGGUUACAGUAAAAUAGCCCUACCCCAGAGAAGAAACACAGAAACAAAAUACUUUAUUUUUGCUUCUUAACCUAUCAGGCGUCCCCUUCCCCUUAACCCAGAGGGACGAGGGGCGGGGCAAGAACCCACAAAAAUCCGGAACUUUUAUUCAAACUGGCGGAUGUCCCCGGAGAGUAGAGGAAAGAACAGAGACACUUCCGGUUACUCCGGAAGUGAAGGUUUCACAUGCUCCUAAGCUCCUCCCCCGGCGGCGAGCCAGGGUGAAGUGAUGGCCGGCCAGGCGGCGCGGCUGGUGCUGCUAGCUGGGGCAGCCGCACUAGCGAGCGGCUCCCAGGGUGACCGCGAGCCGGUGUACCGCGACUGCGUACUCCAGUGUGAAGAGCGGAACUGCUCCGGGGGCGCUCUGAAGCACUUCCGCUCCCUCCAGCCAAUCUACAUGAGUCUAGCAGGCUGGACCUGUCAGGAUGACUGUAAGUAUGAGUGCAUGUGGGUUACUGUUGGCCUCUAUCUCCAGGAAGGUCACAAAGUGCCUCAGUUCCAUGGCAAGUGGCCCUUCUCCCGGUUCCUGUUCUUUCAAGAGCCAGCUUCUGCUGUGGCCUCUUUUCUCAAUGGCCUGGCCAGUCUUGUGAUGCUCUGCCGCUACCGUACCUCCGUGCCAGCCUCUUCCCCCAUGUACCACACCUGCGUGGCCUUUGCCUGGAUGAGAAAACAGCAAGGCUAAAUAACUUGCCCAAGGACACACAGGAAAUGCAGAGCCAGGAUUUGCACCCUGGCAGUCUGGCUCUAGGGCUGGCAUUCUUAAUGACACUACCUCCCAAAUCUGAGGAGAGGGUGUCCCUCAAUGCUUGGUUUUGGUCCACAGUCUUCCACACCAAGGACACAGACCUCACAGAG
Molecule: RNA transcript, 2213 nt
Organism: Nycticebus coucang (slow loris)
Lineage: Eukaryota; Metazoa; Chordata; Mammalia; Primates; Lorisidae
Gene: PGAP3
Gene name: post-GPI attachment to proteins phospholipase 3
Exons: 5
Source: RefSeq, a predicted model, not a curated record